Drosophila pseudoobscura is the source of this 796-nucleotide long non-coding RNA. RefSeq lists it as uncharacterized. NCBI's taxonomy places the organism in Eukaryota, Metazoa, Arthropoda, Insecta, Diptera, Drosophilidae. The record is from RefSeq and is a predicted model, not a curated record. The transcript is spliced from 3 exons.
CGGCGGCGGUGGCUGGCUCCCAUCUCGGCUUUUUGCGCGGCCAAAAACGGCCACGGAGCUGGAAAAUCGAAACUGGCAACAAGAUGUGGCUGCCAUUAAUUACCGUAGCGGCAACACUGAGCUUCUCCAGCCCGUAAGUGGGGGAUUCCCACUCGGGCAUUGUUUGAGUCUGUUGAAAAUUUACCAAACAAAAUGUAGAAAUAACCAACGCAAUAAUUGCAAAAGUUCUACUUUUGUAAUUGUGAUUUGGAGAAACAAAUAUUCGCUGCUCGUUCCUAUGGAUCGUAUGAUAUGUGCCCGGGAUAGGAAAGAAGACUAUAUCUGUUACAUAGAUGUUUAAUCCAUUCAAGUAUUUCCCAUCAGGACGAUUUGUGACUUCUUAUACAUAUGUCCCAAAGAAACCCGAAUCUGGCGUUCCUACAAAUGCCUGUCGCAUUGUAGCGCCGAUCCCGAGAUCUUUAUCUGGACCUUGACCUGUGGCUGUGGUGGAAGCCCUUAUCCGACAUUGGCGGCGACAAUGCGACAUUCGUGAGCAGCAGAAGCGGAGCAUCUCCGCUGAUGCUGAUGCCGAUGCUGACACCUUUGCUGCUCUCGGGAAGAGGAGUCAUGAGAACGCAGACGCAGACGCGGGCAAAUUAGAAUAACUUAAAUACACGGCGGCACGCAUUAAGCGGCACCGGGUUCCGGGGCAGCGAUAUUAUCAUCUGAAUCGGCAUCGCCAGCGAGCCGCUGCGAAUCCUUUUUCACUCUUCUCUCGCCCGCUAUCAAAAAGUAAUAAAUCUGCCGCUGAUCCAUC